GAUUAACGCUGGCGGUAUGCAUAACACAUGCAAGUCGAACGAACCUUCGGGUUAGUGGCGAACGGGUGAGUAAUACAUUGGGAUCUGCCCAAGAGUAGGACAUAGCCUGCCGAAAGGUGGGGUAAUUUCCUAUAGUCUUAGUAAUAAGUAAAGCAGCAAUGCGCUCUUGGAGGAACCUUUGUUCUAUCAGCUUGUUGGUGAGGUAAUGGCUCACCAAGGCGACGACGGAUAGCUGGAUUGAGAGGUUGACCAGCCACACUGGGACUGAGACACGGCCCAGACUCCUACGGGAGGCAGCAGUGGGGAAUUUUGGACAAUGGGCGCAAGCCUGAUCCAGCAAUGCCGCGUGCAGGAUGAAGGCCUCCGGGUUGUAAACUGCUUUUGUACGGAACGAAAAGCCCCGGGUUAAUACCCUGGGGUCAUGACGGUACCGUAAGAAUAAGCACCGGCUAACUACGUGCCAGCCGCCGCGGUAA
This 476-nucleotide ribosomal RNA is filed under the name uncultured bacterium. Its description in RNAcentral is "partial 16S ribosomal RNA". It matches the Rfam family "Bacterial small subunit ribosomal RNA", at positions 28 to 523 of the family's 1533-position model. The record is from RNAcentral.